GGGUGAUCUGCCUGUAACAUUGGCAAAAUCUGUCACCUUAAUGACCAAAAGGUUGGACUGUGCUGAUCUGGCUGGCUAGACAGAUAUUCCCCUACACUCCCUGCCCAUUCCACACAUGCCGAUUCUAAAGCUAUGCACUCAGUGGAAGAUACAGUGUACUGCUCUUUGAUCAUGGGUGAUCUGUGUAUCAUGACCACUUACCAGUGAUACCCAAUGGUUUCUAUAUUGAGGGUGAGUGAAUCAAAAAGAGUGGGCAAUAAAAGCAUCAAAAAACAGAUUUUAUACCAACAUUAUAGCUGUAGCACAAAGCCAUCCAGCCAAGCUGU
This 326-nucleotide small nuclear RNA is filed under the name Anolis carolinensis (green anole). RNAcentral describes it as "7SK RNA". It matches the Rfam family "7SK RNA". From Rfam's summary of the family: 7SK was discovered as an abundant small nuclear RNA in the mid-70s but a possible function has only recently been suggested. Two independent studies have found that 7SK RNA binds the CDK9/cyclin T complex (known as elongation factor P-TEFb). P-TEFb activates transcription by phosphorylating the C-terminal domain of RNA polymerase II. The record is from Rfam by way of RNAcentral. Lineage: Eukaryota; Metazoa; Chordata; Lepidosauria; Squamata; Anolidae.